Molecule: RNA transcript, 1749 nt
Organism: Solanum pennellii
Lineage: Eukaryota; Viridiplantae; Streptophyta; Magnoliopsida; Solanales; Solanaceae
Gene name: tryptophan synthase beta chain 1-like
Exons: 6
Source: RefSeq, a predicted model, not a curated record
CCCAAUUUCAUGCAACCCUUUACAUAAACAACUAACCUACCUUGUUGGUCCCCAAUUACAAUAUUUUAUCAAAAAAAGAUUUAUACACCUGAGAUAACAACCUAGUAUUUUUUUUUGUUGUUGUAAGAAAAGACAUUAUGGCAUGUAAUAUUAAUGUUGAAUCUAUUCUUGGACAAGGAAUUUUUGCUACUACAUCAAGCAAAAAAUUACAAGCCUUCCCAUCUCAUACUUAUAAAGCUAAUGUUAUUUCUUGUGUAGCUAUUGGCCCAACUGCAAUUCCACAAUUACCAUGGAAGUUAGUUUUCCAUGAAAAAGAGAGACAAUCAUUAUUAAGCAAUGAAAAAUUUGGGAUUUAUGGUGGAAAGUUUGUCCCUGAGACACUAAUAUCUCCUUUACAAAGCUUGAUUAUGAAUUCAACUCCGCUUUGCACGAUCCUCAAUUUCAGAUGGAUCUUCAAGUAGCAUUAAAGGACUAUGUAGGACGUGAAACUCCUUUAUACUUUGCCCAAAGACUCACAGAUUAUUACAAGAGUCUUAAUAAAGGGAUAGGACCUGAUAUAUAUCUAAAAAGAGAAUAUUUAAACCAUGGUGGUGCACACAAAAUCAACAACGCUAUUGCACAAGCUAUGUUGGCUAAGCGUAUGGGUUGCAAAAACGUCGUGGCGUCCACCGGUGCUGGACAGCACGGUGUCGGCACGGCGGCUGCUUGUGCCAAACUCUCAUUGGAGUGCACAAUAUUCAUGGGAAGUUUAGAUAUGGAGAGACAACCUUCUAAUGUACUCUUGAUGAACCAUCUUGGUGCAAAGGUGAAAUGUGUUGAAGGAAGUUUCAAAGAUGCAAUGUCAGAAGGUAUUAGAAAUUGGGUUAACGAUUUGGAGACAAGUUAUUUCUUAGCGGGUGCAGCCAUAGGACCUCACCCAUGUCCAACCAUGGUUCGUGAAUUCCAAUCAAUUAUUGGAAAAGAGACUAGAAAACAAGCCAUGGAUAAAUGGGGUGGCAAACCACAUGUGUUGGUGGCUUGUGUUGGGAGUGGCUCCAAUGCGUUGGGUUUGUUUCAUGAAUUUAUACAAGAUGUAGAUGUGAGACUAAUCGGAGUCGAGGCCGGCGGGAUCGGUCUUGAUUCAGGUAAACACUCAGCAACUAUGGCUAGGGGUGAAGUUGGAGUGUACCAUGGUGCCAUGAGCUAUUUAUUACAAGACGAGGAAGGCCAACUAAUUGAACCACAUUCCAUAGGUGUGGGAUUAGAAUAUCCAGGUGUUAGUCCAGAGCUUAGCUAUUUGAAAGAUAUCGGACGUGCAGAGUUUUCCACCGUAACAGAUGAAGAAGCUAUAAAAGCAUAUAAACGAUUGUGCAUACUAGAAGGGAUAUUUCCAGCCUUAGAAUCUUGUCAUGCUCUUGCAUUUCUAGACAAACUUUGUUCUACUUUAAAGGAUGGUGAAAAAGUGAUUGUUAAUUUAAGUGGUCGUGGAGAUAAGGAUGCUGAGGCGGUCUUUAAUCAUACACCAAAACAUAAAUGAAAAAAAAAUUAGAUUAUUUUUUUUAGGUUAGAAUUUAUAAGUAAAAUAACUUAUUUCCUUUUAUGUUAUUCUCUUUAGUUCUCUCUCUCUAUAUAAUAGUGAUGUGAUGUAGUCUUCUAAGUUGAUUGAAUGCAAAUUAUUUGGAUAUAUAUAGACAAGCAAUAUGUGUUCUUAUAUAAUUGCUUAAAGAUGAUAAAUUGAUACAAUUAAUAUAAAUGCCAAGUAAAUUUGGA